AACGAACGCUGGCGGCAUGCCUAACACAUGCAAGUCGAACGAGACCUUCGGGUCUAGUGGCGCACGGGUGCGUAACGCGUGGGAAACUGCCCUUAGGUUCGGAAUAACUCCCCGAAAGGGGUGCUAAUACCGGAUAAUGUCUUCGGACCAAAGAUUUAUCGCCUUUGGAUGGGCCCGCGUUGGAUUAGCUAGUUGGUAGGGUAAAAGCCUACCAAGGCGACGAUCCAUAGCUGGUCUGAGAGGAUGAUCAGCCACACUGGGACUGAGACACGGCCCAGACUCCUACGGGAAGCAGCAGUGGGGAAUAUUGGACAAUGGGCGAAAGCCUGAUGCAGCAAUGCCGCGUGAGUGAUGAAGGCCUUAGGGUUGUAAAGCUCUUUUACCCGGGAUGAUAAUGACAGUACCGGGAGAAUAAGCUCCGGCUAACUCCGUG
This 433-nucleotide ribosomal RNA is filed under the name uncultured bacterium. RNAcentral's name for it is "partial 16S ribosomal RNA". It matches the Rfam family "Bacterial small subunit ribosomal RNA", at positions 29 to 507 of the family's 1533-position model. The record is from RNAcentral.